RNAcentral lists this ribosomal RNA (457 nucleotides) under uncultured bacterium. RNAcentral's name for it is "partial 16S ribosomal RNA". It matches the Rfam family "Bacterial small subunit ribosomal RNA", at positions 338 to 795 of the family's 1533-position model. The record is from RNAcentral.
CCUACGGGAGGCAGCAGUGGGGAAUAUUGCACAAUGGGGGAAACCCUGAUGCAGCGACGCCGCGUGAGUGAAGAAGUAUUUCGGUAUGUAAAGCUCUAUCAGCAGGGAAGAAACACACCCUCCGGGGUGGCUGACGGUACCUGACUAAGAAGCCACGGCUAACUACGUGCCAGCAGCCGCGGUAAUACGUAGGGGGCAAGCGUUAUCCGGAUUUACUGGGUGUAAAGGGAGCGUAGGUGGCAAGGCAAGUCAGAUGUGAAAACCCGGGGCCCAACCCCGGGAGUGCAUUUGAAACUGUCUGGCUAGAGUACAGGAGAGGUAAGUGGAAUUCCUAGUGUAGCGGUGAAAUGCAUAGAUAUUAGGAAGAACACCAGUGGCGAAGGCGGCUUACUGGACUGUAACUGACACUGAGGCUCGAAAGCGUGGGGAGCAAACAGGAUUAGAUACCCGGGUAGUC